Cyprinus carpio (common carp) is the source of this 2508-nucleotide long non-coding RNA. The record is from Ensembl. NCBI's taxonomy places the organism in Eukaryota, Metazoa, Chordata, Actinopteri, Cypriniformes, Cyprinidae.
UUGUUCUGAGCUGUGUUUGUUAACACUAGUUAAAGUGGUCCAGUACAGAGAGAAUCCAGAGUUGGUGACUUUACUGUUGGAGGUUCUUGGCUUCUCCCUCAGUCUGGAAGGACAUUUACCCAGUAAAACCUGCAGGUCUGUGGGGAGAUUCUUACGUUUCUCUUCUGACAGACUCAACCUCACUCUAAAACCUAAAGCCGUCUCUCUAAGAGGAACAAGGCUUCUUUUCAGACACAUCAAAAACAUACACACACUNGCAGUUUUUGACUUUAUAUUUAUCAUGGCAUAGAAAUAAAACAAAAAUUCUGUAUGUGUAGACUAUCUAAAGAAACUCUCCGGAAGCUGGUUGAAUUUGUCUGUGAAGCUCAGGAAGAGGAACUGACUCAGUGCUUCCUGCAGAAAGUGGGUGGAGAUCUGACUUCCUGUUCCUUGAGCUGGGAAGAGCUUCACUAUUUCCUGCAGCACAAGAUUCCACACAUCACUGUGGACCUCAGAAAGAGCAACAUUGGAUGUAAUGUCAGAAAAAUGUUGCCAUUUUUUAACAGGAUUCAAUUUAAACGGAUCAGCUCUACCUUCAUGCUGUCUGUAAUCAGAGAGAUCUAUGAGUCCGGCUCUGUUGGUUUUGUGUCCAGUCUGUUGAGUUCAGUUGAGAACUACAUUAACCUGCAGAGCAGAGAGCUGGACUCUGUUCACUGUGCGGCCCUGCGCUUCACACUGCAGCACUGCACUGCAGUUUCACUCAAUCUACAGUGGACCUCCAUACCAGAGGAAGAGCUGGAGAGCAUUCUGCCUCUCUUCACACAUGUGUCCCACCUCAGUGUUGACAGGCUGCUGUUAAUGAAGAUGUUGCACUGCUGCAGUGUCUCUGAUGUCCAGCAGGAGACAGCAGCAGUUCUGCUCUCUGUCCUGCAGCACAAAUUGGACUUCUCCUGCUGUUCUGCUCUGGAUCUGACAGCAAACACAGACUCAGAGCCUCUACAUCUAACCGCUGAGGACUGCCGUGUGAUGUCCAGAGUCAUCCAGAGCGCUCAUUCAGACACAAAGACACAACUGAUUCUGCAGGACUGUGAGAUUAAUAAAGCUGGAAUGGAUCAGCUGUUCCCAGUGUUAUAUUCUGUUAAACUCUGCUGUGAUAAAUCUCUGCUGCUUCAGUUUCUGGCUCAUGUGAGGCCUGAGGAAGCAGAGUCUUUUUCUCAAGCUCUGGGUGAUGAGCUCGACCUCAGUCAGACUCAGCUGAACUCGCAGGUCUGUGAAGCUCUGAAGCUAAUUCUGGAAUAUUCUGAAGGACUGACUGAACUGGAUCUGAGUCAGUGCUGUCUCACCGAUGACAGCCUGGAUCUGCUGCUCCCAAACCUCCACAAAGUGCAAAACAUUGAUUUUAGUGGCAAUAGUAUCACUAACUUUGGGGCUCAUAAAAUCUACAGUAUCGUCACUCGCAACAGUAACAUGAAGACAAUAAGGUUUGUGUCUGAGCGUCACAAUGUCCAAGUUAUUUUAACUGUUAUUUAAAUGGUAAAAUCUGGGUUAAAGUGCUUUAUGUUUGAGUGAAGAGCAUUUUGUUGAUCACACUGUCAUCCAAAAAAAAAAAAAAAUUAUAAUAAUUCAGUCAAAUGUGUCCAAAUGUUUGCCGGAUAGUUCAUAGUGUCAUGUGCAACAGAGUGAAAAUCAUUAAUGGCAAUGAUGUUAAGUGAGAUGAAUCAAGCCACGAGGUCAUAAACCACAUUCAUGUGUUAUCAUCACUUUCAGUCAUAAUCAACAGUUGGUUUUUGUUGUAUUAUCUGUGACAAAAUCAGUCUCCUUUGUAAACUUUCUUUCCCCUUCUCCUCCCUUUAUAUUAUUUGCAUCAUGCAUAUUAUAGAUCUGAAUAUUUUCUUUUGCCUUUAUUCCUAUAUAAAUUUUUAAUUUGCCUUUUCAGUGUAGUUUUUGUUUAUUCUUAUUUUACAAUUAUUUUUCUUGUUUUAGUUUACGUAUAGGUUUUCUUUUUCUUUUUAAUUGUAGUAGCCUGUUUUAACAUUUCCAAAGUAAAUCUACUUAAUGGAUUUAUUUAAAAAUAGUUUUGUAAGAAGAUAAUCAGUUUUCUAAUUUCACUAUUAGUUUUUAUUUUUAGUAUUUUAGCACUGCCAAAGAAUAGCUACUUGCUGUAAUCCUUUAAAGACUAUUUUGUAAAAACCUUAUCAGCAUUAAAUUUCCAAGCACAGUUUAGUGCUACUAUGAAAUAAGCAUAAUCUGUAUAAACUGGGAGUCUUUUAUUUUUUAAUUACAUGCUAAAACAAUUGCAUUUAAAGCUACUGGCAUAAAACCUUAUGAAUGCUGAAAAAAGGCUUUUGAUAGACCAUAUUUCAAGUAAAAUACUGCAGCUUUGACAUCUUGCUGUUUUAAUAUCAGCAUCAUUCCAGUAGAGAGCAGCAAUGAUUUAUUAAUAACAAGAGCUCAGAAAACUCACAGCGAAGAUAGCAAGGGGGACAUAGAUAUAACACAACCAAAAUAAAGAGCAAGUGCAUUUAUACA